ACAAGCAGCGGAGCGUGUGGUUUAAUUCGUUGCUACACGAAGAACUUACCUGGGUUUGACAUAUAGGUUGUAGGGAACUGAAAGGGACGACCUUCGGGAGCCUAUACAGGUGUUUGCAUGGCUGUCGUCAGCUCGUGUCGUGAGAUGUUCGGUUAAGUCCGCUAACGAGCGCAACCCUCGUCGUAUGUUAUAUGUGUCAUACGAGACUGCCGGUAAAAGCCGGAGGAAGGUGAGGAUGAUGUCAAGUCAGCAUGACCUUUAUAUCCAGGGCUACACACACGCUACAAUGGUCUGUACAAUGGGUAGCCAAGCCGCGAGGCGGAGCCAAUCCUGAAAGCAGGCCUCAGUUCAGAUUGCAGUCUGCAACUCGACUGCAUGAAGCCGGAGUUGCUAGUAACCGCAGGUCAGCAAUACUGCGGUGAAUACGUUCCCGGGUCUU
RNAcentral lists this ribosomal RNA (439 nucleotides) under uncultured Anaerolineaceae bacterium. Its description in RNAcentral is "bacterial SSU rRNA". It matches the Rfam family "Bacterial small subunit ribosomal RNA", at positions 925 to 1382 of the family's 1533-position model. Lineage: Bacteria; Bacillati; Chloroflexota; Anaerolineae; Anaerolineales; Anaerolineaceae. The record is from RNAcentral.